This is a long non-coding RNA of Gambusia affinis (western mosquitofish), 661 nucleotides long. RefSeq lists it as uncharacterized. The transcript has 4 exons. NCBI's taxonomy places the organism in Eukaryota, Metazoa, Chordata, Actinopteri, Cyprinodontiformes, Poeciliidae. The record is from RefSeq and is a predicted model, not a curated record.
CAUUAUUCCUGUCCACAGUGGUAAGUAACUUGCAAGUCUUAUAAUGUGUGGCACAAUCUCAGGGAGGAAAUGAAUGUUAUCCCUAUCCCCAUUGGCUGCAGCAUGUGUCCUGCUCUCCUCACAAAUGUUUGACACCCAGUCUCGUAGGUCAGUCUGGAUGUCAUUACAUGGAUCCACUUGAUGAACUUCCUUUGUGUCUUCAUCUGGAAUUAUGAUGGAGUCUUCUGCAAUCUGGGUUUUCAGGCAGUCCCACUGGCAGACCAUCUUUAUGCAGUGGGCAACAUCAACCCUGAUAUAACAGGGAGGAAGUUUUGCAGACUGGUUCCCAAGUAGCACAUGGAAGCAUUCAUCAAUGUAUGAUUUCAGGUUAGGACAAGGAGUGAAGGCCUUCACCAGAGCACCAAGAAUAGCCAGGGAAAAGUCACUCACAGCUUCUUUUGAACACCUUGGUAUAAGAAGAUGUGGCCAGAUGUACCAUUUGGUCUUGCCAGUUUUCUGACAACUGAACCAGUUGCAUCAAAGCAAACUACUGAGGGACAUUUUUUGGUUGCCAGGUUUGGAAGGUGACUUGGCUCGGGAUCUCCAAUAUCCAUCAACUCUGAUGCCUUUGCUGACCUCCAUACAGAUGGUUCCAUCCUGCCUUCACACAACUCUUCUGAAA